AGCGAACGUUAGCGGCGGGCCUAACACAUGCAAGUCGAACGCGAAAGGUCUUCGGACUGAGUAGAGUGGCGCACGGGUGAGUAACACGUAGGUAAUCUACCCUUUGGCGGGGGAUAACGUUCUGAAAGGAGCGCUAAUACCGCAUAAGACCACGGAGUCUCCGGACGCUGUGGGAAAAGGUGGCCUCUUCUUGAAAGCUACCACCGAAGGAUGAGCCUGCGUCCCAUCAGCUAGUUGGUAAGGUAAUGGCUUACCAAGGCGAAGACGGGUAGCUGGUUUGAGAGAAUGAUCAGCCACACUGGCACUGGAACACGGGCCAGACUCCUACGGGAGGCAGCAGUGAGGAAUAUUGGGCAAUGGGCGAAAGCCUGACCCAGCCACGCCGCGUGAGUGAUGAAGGCCCUCGGGUCGUAAAGCUCUGUGGAGAGGGACGAAAACCCUGGUUUCAAAUAGGCUCCAGGCUUGACGGUACCUCUUUAGCAAGCACCGGCUAACUCUGUGCCAGCAGCCG
This 511-nucleotide ribosomal RNA is filed under the name uncultured bacterium. RNAcentral's name for it is "bacterial SSU rRNA". It matches the Rfam family "Bacterial small subunit ribosomal RNA", at positions 29 to 517 of the family's 1533-position model. The record is from RNAcentral.